AGCCACGUCUCACCCACGA
This 19-nucleotide small nuclear RNA is filed under the name Arabidopsis thaliana (thale cress). RNAcentral describes it as "snRNA_15316". The record is from RNAcentral. Lineage: Eukaryota; Viridiplantae; Streptophyta; Magnoliopsida; Brassicales; Brassicaceae.